AGCAGUCGCCACGGUAAAACGUAGGUCCCGAGCGUUGUCCGGAAUUAUUGGGCGUAAAGGGAGCGCAGGCGGACAUAUAAGUCCAUCUUAAAGGUGCGGGGCUCAACCCCGUGAGGGGAUGGAAACUGUAUGCCUUGAGUGCAGGAGAGGAAAGCGGAAUUCCCAGUGUAGCGGUGAAGUGCGUAGAUAUUGGGAGGAACACCAGUGGCGAAGGCGGCUUUCUGGACUGUAACUGACGCUGAGGCUCGAAAGCCAGGGAAGCGAACGGGAUUAGAGACCCCAGUAGUCCCUGUCUCUUAUACA
Molecule: ribosomal RNA, 303 nt
Filed under: uncultured bacterium
Lineage: Bacteria
Description: partial 16S ribosomal RNA
Rfam family: Bacterial small subunit ribosomal RNA
Source: RNAcentral